This 916-nucleotide ribosomal RNA is filed under the name uncultured bacterium. Its description in RNAcentral is "bacterial SSU rRNA". It matches the Rfam family "Bacterial small subunit ribosomal RNA", at positions 9 to 916 of the family's 1533-position model. The record is from RNAcentral.
GAGUUUGAUCAUGGCUCAGGAUGAACGCUAGCUACAGGCUUAACACAUGCAAGUCGAGGGGCAGCAUGGAAGUUUGCUUGCAAACUUCCGAUGGCGACCGGCGCACGGGUGAGUAACACGUAUCCAACCUGCCGAUAACUCGGGGAUAGCCUUUCGAAAGAAAGAUUAAUAUCCGAUAGCAUAUCAAGGUCGCAUGAUCCUGAUAUUAAAGAAUUUCGGUUAUCGAUGGGGAUGCGUUCCAUUAGUUAGUUGGCGGGGUAACGGCCCACCAAGACGACGAUGGAUAGGGGUUCUGAGAGGAAGGUCCCCCACAUUGGAACUGAGACACGGUCCAAACUCCUACGGGAGGCAGCAGUGAGGAAUAUUGGUCAAUGGACGAGAGUCUGAACCAGCCAAGUAGCGUGAAGGAUGACUGCCCUAUGGGUUGUAAACUUCUUUUAUAUGGGAAUAAAACAGGGUAUGCAUACCCUCUUGUAUGUACCAUAUGAAUAAGGAUCGGCUAACUCCGUGCCAGCAGCCGCGGUAAUACGGAGGAUCCGAGCGUUAUCCGGAUUUAUUGGGUUUAAAGGGAGCGUAGGUGGAUUGUUAAGUCAGUUGUGAAAGUUUGCGGCUCAACCGUAAAAUUGCAGUUGAAACUGGCAGUCUUGAGUACAGUAGAGGUGGGCGGAAUUCGUGGUGUAGCGGUGAAAUGCUUAGAUAUCACGAAGAACUCCGAUUGCGAAGGCAGCUCACUAGACUGCAACUGACACUGAUGCUCGAAAGUGUGGGUAUCAAACAGGAUUAGAUACCCUGGUAGUCCACACAGUAAACGAUGAAUACUCGCUGUUUGCGAUAUACAGUAAGCGGCCAAGCGAAAGCAUUAAGUAUUCCACCUGGGGAGUACGCCGGCAACGGUGAAACUCAAAGGAAUUGACGG